RNAcentral lists this ribosomal RNA (484 nucleotides) under uncultured bacterium. RNAcentral describes it as "partial 16S ribosomal RNA". It matches the Rfam family "Bacterial small subunit ribosomal RNA", at positions 30 to 507 of the family's 1533-position model. The record is from RNAcentral.
AUUGAACGCUGGCGGCAGGCCUAACACAUGCAAGUCGAGCGGACGAAUCGAGCUUGCUCCUGGAUUCAGCGGCGGACGGGUGAGUAAUGCCUAUGAAUCUGCCUGGUCGUGGGGGAUAACGUCCGGAAACGGGCGCUAAUACCGCAUACGUCCUGAGGUAGAAAGUGGGGGAUCUUCGGACCUCACGCUAUCAGAUGAGCCUAGGUCGGAUUAGCUAGUUGGUGGGGUAAAGGCCUACCAAGGCGACGAUCCGUAACUGGUCUGAGAGGAUGAUCCGUCACACGGGAACAGAGACAGGGUAGCGACUUCUACGGGGGGAAGCAGUGGGGAAUCUUAGACAAUGGGGGAGAGCCUGAUCCAGCCAUGCCGGGUGUAUGAAGAAGCUCUUAGGAUUGUAAAGCACUUUAAGUUGGGAGAAAGGGCAGUAAGUUAAUACCUUACUAUUUUGACGUUACCAACAGAAGAAGCCCCGGCUAACUUCGUG